CCAGUGACAGUAAACGCUGGCGGCAUGCCUAACACAUGCAAGUCGAACGACCGAAACCCUGCGUAUAUUACGGGUGAGUACCAGUGACCUGCCUUUCGGUUCGGAAUAACGUCCAGUAGUGGACCGUGAUCAGUUCUAACCCCGAUGAGAGAAAGUUUACGCCGCGUGGACAUGAGCCCGCGUCGGAUUAUUGAUGAUAAGCCAGGGUAACCCAGUGACGAUAGCUUCGAUCCGUAGCUGCCGAUGAAGAGGAUGAUCAGCCACCGUGCAGAUGACACGGACGUAGUCCUACGGGAGGCCGUAGUAAAUAUUGGACAAUGGGCGCAAGCCUGAUCCCGAUGACAUUUGACGACCAGUAGACCAUAGAUGAAGGCCUUAGGGUUGUCCGUAGCGCACGCCGAUGACUACGAAGGGGGCUAGUAAAGGGCGCGUAGGCGGCCUGUUUAGUCAGAAGUGAAAGCCCCGGGCUCAACCUGGGAAUAGCUUUUGACCGUGACUAAAUCGGUCUCGUAGAGUUCCGGAGCCGUGACGCCGUAGAUUAGAGGUGAAAUUCGUAGAUAGAAGACCGAUGCCGUAGUACGGCCACCAGUGACAUACUGACGCUGAGGCGCGACCGUGACAAUUCCGAUAAACAGGAUUAGAUACCCUGCCGUAACACAGUCUCGUAGCAGUAUAAACGAUGAAUGCUAGACGUCCCGUGGGUCCAGUGAUGAUAAACCGUUUCGUGGUCGCCGCUAACGCAUUAAGCCCCAGUAGUAAACUCAAAGGAAGACGGGGGCCCGCACAAGCCGAUGAGCAUGUGGUUUAAUUCGAAGCAACGCGCAGAACCUUACCAACCCUCCAGUAGCCACUUUGAACCCGAGAGAUUGGGUUUUUCAGUUCGGCUCGUAGUAAACACAGGUGCUGCAUGGCCGUAGUCAGCUCGUGUCGUGAGAUCCGUGACAAAGUCCCGCAACGAGCGCAACCCCGUGACAUAUUUGCCAGUAAGUUGGGCACUCUGGUGGAACCGCCGCCGAUGAAACAAUUUAGGAGGAAGGCGGGGAUGACGUCUCCUCAUGGCCAGUAGAUGUUGGGCUACACACGUGCUACAAUGGCGGUGACAGUGGGACGCGAAGUCGCGAGCCAGUAUGGAGCAACGUACCCAAAAGCCGUCUCAGUUCGGAUUCCAGUAGAGAGUGCAUGAAGUUGGAAUCGCUAGUACAUCGCGGAUCAGCACAAUACGUUCCCGCCAGUUAGAGCCCUUGUACACACCGCCCGUCACACCCCAGUAUUCCAGUAGAGGUGGUGCGCUAACCGCCAGGAGGC
Molecule: ribosomal RNA, 1305 nt
Filed under: Azospirillum oryzae
Lineage: Bacteria; Pseudomonadati; Pseudomonadota; Alphaproteobacteria; Rhodospirillales; Azospirillaceae
Description: bacterial SSU rRNA
Rfam family: Bacterial small subunit ribosomal RNA
Source: RNAcentral